GAACUUCCCUCUUCUGCUAGGACCGAGGUGGAGAUGGAGUCUUGUCGCAGUGAGAAAAAAAAAUUCAAUACUCAGAUUCUUCCUGAUGGCCUGCACUCCUGUCCAAGAAAAUCUCAGGCUAAAAACCAUAUAACCAAUGAGAUAUGAUCGCCAGCGUUUGGCGCUGAGAUUCUUCAGGACAUGGCCUUGAUGCCAUGAAGAUGCCCAUCACUGACAGGCUUUCCUGUGUAAACCAUCAUAUUUAUCCAAAUGAGGAUCUCAGGGAUCCCCAGCUGAGGCAUGAAGAAGACAUCAGUGGCUGUAUUCACAAAACAUCUGAAGGCUAAAAGUAGCUCCUAAAUUGUCGAUUUAGGAGAAACUCUUAAAAAUAAUUGGCGCGUCAGUCCUAAUUUUAGGAGUCCUAAAUUUUUG
Long non-coding RNA from Megalobrama amblycephala (Wuchang bream), 411 nucleotides. RefSeq lists it as uncharacterized. The transcript is spliced from 5 exons. The record is from RefSeq and is a predicted model, not a curated record. Lineage: Eukaryota; Metazoa; Chordata; Actinopteri; Cypriniformes; Xenocyprididae.